Molecule: non-coding RNA, 125 nt
Organism: Hordeum vulgare subsp. vulgare (domesticated barley)
Lineage: Eukaryota; Viridiplantae; Streptophyta; Magnoliopsida; Poales; Poaceae
Source: Rfam
CUUGUAUUCCCCCCGUCCGGAAAUACUUGUCAUAGGAAUAGAUGUAUCUAGAUGUAUUUUAGUUCUAGAUACAUCAAUUUCCAUCCAUUGAUGCGACAAGUACUUUCGUAUGAAGGGAGUAACUA